Molecule: small RNA, 77 nt
Filed under: Flavobacterium aquatile LMG 4008 = ATCC 11947
Lineage: Bacteria; Pseudomonadati; Bacteroidota; Flavobacteriia; Flavobacteriales; Flavobacteriaceae
Description: Flavobacterium aquatile LMG 4008 Flavo-1 RNA
Rfam family: Flavo-1 RNA
Source: Rfam by way of RNAcentral
AAUUAGCCCUGAUUGCAAUGAAAAUCUUUUUAUUUUUCUUUAAAAAUAAAAAAUUGUAAUGGAAAGCAGGAAAAUGG